GUCCUAGCUGUAAACGGUGCACAUUUGCUGUAAAAGGAAUCGACCCCUUUUGUGGCGAAGCUAACGCGAUAAAUGUGCCGCCUGGGAAGUACAGUCGCAAGAUUAAAACUCAAAGAAAUUGACGGGGGCCUGCACAAGCGGUGGAGUAUGUGGCUUAAUUCGAUGCAACGCGAAGAACCUUACCUGGCCUUGACAUGUAUAUAGUAGGAGCAUGAAAGGGCAACGAGGUAGCAAUACCAGUGUACACAGGUGCUGCAUGGCUGUCGU
RNAcentral lists this ribosomal RNA (267 nucleotides) under uncultured bacterium. RNAcentral's name for it is "partial 16S ribosomal RNA". It matches the Rfam family "Bacterial small subunit ribosomal RNA", at positions 793 to 1055 of the family's 1533-position model. The record is from RNAcentral.